Molecule: ribosomal RNA, 497 nt
Filed under: uncultured bacterium
Lineage: Bacteria
Description: partial 16S ribosomal RNA
Rfam family: Bacterial small subunit ribosomal RNA
Source: RNAcentral
GAUGAACGCUGGCGGCGUGCCUAAUACAUGCAAGUCGAGCGAACGGACGAGAAGCUUGCUUUUCUGAUGUUAGCGGCGGACGGGUGAGUAACCCGUGGAUAACCUACCUAUAAGACUGGGAUAACUUCGGGAAACCGGAGCUAAUACCGGAUAAUAUUUUGAACCGCAUGGUUCAAAAGUGAAAGACGGUCUUGCUGUCACUUAUAGAUGGAUCCGCGCUGCAUUAGCUAGUUGGUAAGGUAACGGCUUACCAAGGCAACGAUGCAUAGCCGACCUGAGAGGGUGAUCGGCCACACUGGAACUGAGACACGGUCCAGACUCCUACGGGAGGCAGCAGUAGGGAAUCUUCCGCAAUGGGCGAAAGCCUGACGGAGCAACGCCGCGUGAGUGAUGAAGGUCUUCGGAUCGUAAAACUCUGUUAUUAGGGAAGAACAUAUGUGUAAGUAACUGUGCACAUCUUGACGGUACCUAAUCAGAAAGCCACGGCUAACUACGUG